GUAGGUGGCAAGCGUUGUCCGGAAUUAUUGGGCGUAAAGCGCGCGCAGGCGGUUCUUUAAGUCUGAUGUGAAAGCCCACGGCUCAACCGUGGAGGGUCAUUGGAAACUGGAGAACUUGAGUACAGAAGAGGAAAGCGGAAUUCCACGUGUAGCGGUGAAAUGCGUAGAGAUGUGGAGGAACACCAGUGGCGAAGGCGGCUUUCUGGUCUGUAACUGACGCUGAGGCGCGAAAGCGUGGGGAGCAAACAGGAUUAGAUACCCUGGUAGUCCACGCCGUAAACGAUGAGUGCUAAGUGUUAGGGGGGUUUCCGCCCCCCUUAGUGCUGCAGCUAACGCAUUAAGCACUCCGCCUGGGUAGUACGGCCGCAAGGCUG
Molecule: ribosomal RNA, 374 nt
Filed under: uncultured organism
Description: partial 16S ribosomal RNA
Rfam family: Bacterial small subunit ribosomal RNA
Source: RNAcentral